Molecule: transfer RNA, 73 nt
Filed under: Felis catus (domestic cat)
Lineage: Eukaryota; Metazoa; Chordata; Mammalia; Carnivora; Felidae
Also listed under: 1 other name
Rfam family: tRNA
About the family: Transfer RNA (tRNA) molecules are approximately 80 nucleotides in length.
Source: Rfam by way of RNAcentral
ACCUGGCUGGCUCAAACGGUAGAGCAUGUGACUCUUGAUUUCAGGGUCAUAAGUUUAAGCCCUAUGCUGAGUG